Molecule: long non-coding RNA, 11758 nt
Organism: Haemorhous mexicanus (house finch)
Lineage: Eukaryota; Metazoa; Chordata; Aves; Passeriformes; Fringillidae
Exons: 6
Source: RefSeq, a predicted model, not a curated record
CAGAAGGAAGCAGGAGGACGGGAGAAGGUAACGCGCCCCUCCAGCGCUCUUUGAUCUCGCAGCCCCACCGGGAGCAUCGCCCCCCAUCCCGCAGCCCGCGGCAGCAGCGGGGAUGGAGCCGGGACAGGUCAGGAUGGGCAGCAACUGGGAUCAUGCUGGAGGCAACUGGGAAAGACUGGGAUCAUUCUGAGAGCUGGAGCUGAGGAUGGAGACCAGGGAGGACAAAUCCCCGCAGCAGAACCUGGUGGAAGAGGCUGAUUUGAGCAGCUCCACAGCACAGGAAUCCAAUGGGGAGGAAAAGCCCUGGAGAUCCCACACAAGGAGGGGCUCCAAAUACAGAUCACAGGGCUUUGAGGAGGAAAGACCCACCCUGGGCCUGGGUGGUGGCAGGAGCUUCAGCUGGAUCUCCAACCUGGUAGUCCAUCAGCAGCUUCACCCCAGGGAGCGGCCCUACAAGUGCUUGGAGUGUGGGAGGAGCUUCAGCCACACUUCCAAUCUCUUCCUCCACCAUUGCGUGCCCAAGGGAGAGAGGCCAUACAAGUGCCUGGAAUGUGGGAAGAGCUUCAGGUGGAGCUCCAGCCUCAUCAAGCACCAGCGCCUGCACACCGGGGAACUGCCCUGUGAAUGUGGGGAAUGUGGGAAGAGUUUCAGCCAGAACUCAUUACUAGUUGAGCACCAGAGGAUCCAUACCAUGGAGAGGCCCUAUCAUUGUCCUGACUGUGGGAAGGGCUUCACUCACAACUUCAACCUCGUCAGGCACCGGCGCAUCCACACUGGGGAGAGGCCCUACGAGUGUCCCCAGUGUGGGAAGAGCUUCUCACAGAGCUCUCACUUGGCCAGACACCAACAGAGGCACAAAUAAGGGAAGCUCUUCGGAUGCCCCAAUUGCGGGAGGAGUUUUGUGUGCUGCUCCAACUUCAUCCCCCACUGGAGGAUCCAUGUUGGAUGAUCCACAGUGACCGACAUUGGAGAGAGACCUAGUGACCACCAUUCCAGGAUAAAGAUGGAGAUGAUUUAGGAUGGAAAAGACCUCCAAGGAUCAUCCAGUGGUGCUCAGUGCCAGCAGAAGAAACAAUUGGACAGACCAGGAUUUCUCAUUCACAAAGUUUGGCCAAAUGGAGGAGGAGGCUGUGAGGAAGAGGAAGAUGGCCCAGGAGCCCCAGGCAGCAGCCACAACAUGUGGAGAGUGGAGAGAUGGAGCCCAGUGGAGGGGCAGCUGGGCGAGCUGCUGGCAGCAGGGAUUGCUCCAAAGGAGGACAGCUGGGAGAGCUGCCAGCAAUGGGGAGAGCUGCAAAGGUCCAGACCGUGUAAAUAGAAGAAGCUGCUGGGGACAAGGGGAUGUAAGUUUCCACUGAAAAAAAGGCUGUGAUUCAGGUAUGGAUUAUCUUUUUACAUAAACAGGGAACAUAAAAUACAAGGAACGGGCUGUACAAGCCCUGUUGUUGUGGUGUAAGAGCCAUGGAUGGGACCCUACCACAGAAGUUGCUUGUAAUGUACAGACAGGGAAGCGGGCUGGCAAUUUAAUAUUUGGCUCAGCCUCACAAGGCAGUGAAUUGGCUAGAGACAUUUUAACAACCUGGUGGCUGGUGCUGGACACUUUAAAACAAAUAAAAGCUAAGUGGAGCAUGAAAGCCACAGCUGAGGCAUCAUGGGCACUGCCCGCCAGAUUAUCCCAUAAGGGCAGAGGGCAGGGGGAAGCAGGGGAAGGAGUAAAUGCCACCUUGGGCGUGUGGGUGGAGAGGAUGGACAAGAAACCGUGGCCCCAUAUCACCACACCUCCAGACCUCCACUGCUGGCAACGGACACAUUUGUGCAGUGCCCAAGCCUGCCUGCGCCGUGGCUGCAGGAGCCAUUGCUGUGCUCUACUCCCCAUAUUGGCGUUAACACGCUCAGCACACCCCUGGCUGCAGCUGAUUGGGCAGCCCAGCCAUCACUUGGCACACCCACCAAUGGCAUCACUACGUGAGUGGAGCCUGGAAAUCAAACUUCGCUCAGCGCCGGAAAUGCUGGUGCAGAGCCAUGAGUGCCUGAACCCAGAAGUGUUGGCAGGAGGUUGCUGGCACAUGGCACUGAAGGACACCACACCUUGCUUCACACACAGUUAGGGGUCGAAAAUCCCAAGGGACAUUUACCACUAAGACUCCCAGUAUCCCAAAUGAGGGGGGAGUCAAGUUACCACACCCUUGCUGACCUGAGGGAAGACGCUUCCAUCAUGCUGCUGGAAUCAGUUAAUAUAUCUACACAUGAUCCGAUCAGCUUGUGGAAGCAGAAAAUUAACAGCCAUCAUGGAUGGGUAUCUUAACGGUGUGGUAAGGAUUUCUGUGCCCAUGCCUGUGUUGUCAUUGGGUGGCCAGGAGCCCACGGGUGGGACAGUCAGAGCAUUCCUGGUGCUAAGAGGUGACAGGACCACAUCUGACAGGUGUGUUCCCCUCAAAUGCCAAGUCCUUUCAGGACUUUGCCAGCUAGCCACCAAACAUGGACUGGGGUCUCUGGCAGUAGUAAGCAUGCUACGAUUUUUAACUGCCAAUGAGGCAACCUUUUGAUGUCAAGCAGAUAGUGGAGCUGCUUUGUACCCCAGUUCAGUAUAUGAUGUUUGAGUCCACCUGGUGUCAAUAUGCAGAGGACUAGGGGCUGAAGAAUCAAGAGGUUCCACAGCAAGAUACACAUUUUGGGGCAGGAGUUUCUCAACUUAUGGCACUGCCCCCUGAUGACAAUCCAAAAUUACAGGCAUGCCUACAUUCUUUAAUAUUGGUACAGGGAAAAGACUUUGGAAUACAAGCCCUGCUGAAGGUUGCAGACAUGGCAACACCAACUCAGAGGUAUUUCAUGAAUAAACAGGGUUCUAAGGAACCAUGCAUACAAUUCAUACUGUUAUGGAUGAACAAGGCCAGACUUUCUUGAGAGAAAAAGGCUCUCAUUUAUUUAAAAGGAGCUACAGGAGACAGGAGGGCCAGGUCUGAGAUAGCCUCAGACCCCCAUGCAACAAGUCAAAAAAUAAGUGUGUCCACCUCACAUACACACUGGGCUCUCCAGAAGUGAGUUCCUCAAAAGAAUCCUGAACUUGACUGAACUCUCAUUUUUAUAACCCCCCUUCAGGUCCAGGAUUGGUGGGCUUUGGAUCCACGAGGCAAUUGGCCUGUUUCUGGUGCUCCCAUUGGUCUUUACCACCAUUAAUGCCUGACCAAUCAUUUCCUUGGGGCGUCAAAUGAUUGGCUAGGUCCUUCAUCCAAUCACCCUCCGCAGCGCUGGUCCCACUGUGCUGACUCUGUCUCUGGAUGCCACUCUGCCCCCCUGGACCACCCCCCCCCGCUACAUCCUGGACCCCCUAGAACCCACAAAGAACACUGACCAACCCCCCUCCAAAACAACAACUCCCCCUCCCAAGGUCACAACAACCAACUCAACCCCAGCUUCAACACAAACUGAAUCUCACUUACAACAAUACAAAGGUUAAGAGAUGCCAUGGAAAACCAAAUAAUGAAUAAUGAUAUAAGUAAUCAAUUAAUAUUACAGUUAGCUUGGGAUAAGGCAAAUGAGGACUGCAAAAGAGCUAUCAAUUUGUUACCAAAAGAAAAUCCAUCCUUAAAUGAAUUAAUUGAUCUGUGUGGUAAAGUUGGGACUGAUUCAUAUAAUAUGGCUUUGUUAGUUGAUUUUUUUGCAGAUGCUGUGGAGUUGUCACAUUGAUGCUAUGGAUGUGGACAACAAGGCCACAUAAGAGCAGAUUGUCCCCACAAUUCCAGCUUACUGGGGACACAUCAAAGACACAGAACUGUGACAGCAAUAGGAAAUUGUAAUAGAUACGUGAAACCCAGUCAUUUGGCCAAGCUGUGUAGGUCAAGUUUCACUUUAAUGGACAGCUUCUCAGUGAGCAGGGAAAUGGGAACAGGAGCAUGAUGGAGAGGCGUGCACAGACACAAGCAUCAUUCCAUUCCCCAGUGUGAGCCUAUGUGACCAACUCACCUGAAAAACCAGAGAGCCGGUAGGUAUGGAUGUUUCCACUGUCAUCACAAUAAUUAUAAAUUCAUUACAGGUACAUAAAGUUCCUCUUGAGGCCUAUAGACCUAUAGGGAGAGGGUUAAGUGCUCUGUUGCUGAGGAGAUCAAGUGCAACAAUACAAGGCAUUUUUGUUUACCCUGGUAUCAUCGAUGCUGUUACACAGGACACGUAUGUGCUAUGGUGUCAAUGCCUUCUCGUCCUGUAACUAUGGCAGCAAAAACUCAUAUCACCCAGCUUAUCCCUUUCAAGUCUUGUGUUCCCAAAACAGACCCAAGGACGCAAGGAGAUCAAGGCUUUGGAUCAACUGGAGAACCUCAGGUGUACCAGACUCAGGUCAUCUCUGAUUGAAGACCAGCUAUGAUUUGUACACUUACAAUGCCUUGGGUAAGUCCAUCUCACAUAAAGGUCAGUCCUGUUAUGAGUAAGAUGUGGAGGUUGGCUCAUGCAAAUGAGCAGGAGUUAUUCAGUGUGGUGGAGAGAGGUUCUGUUAGGGUUGGUGGUUCUUUUGACAUGUACUUUUGUUGUUCCAGUGUGGUUUUGAACCCUUUUCUGUUCUCCCUUCAAUCUCCCCCACCCUGUGUGGUGGCUGCUGGGCACCUCCAGCUGACAGGACUGUUGGGGCAUAUGGGGGAGGGCGUGUGCUUGCCCCUUGUGGGAGGCGGCAGGGAAUGGGGGACACUUGUUGCUGGGAGGCCUGGCAACCAAUCAAGAUGCAAGAAGAACUCCACCAAUGAAAGGCAUGGAAGGACAUAUAAGGACUCCUCAUGAAUAUUAAUGAGGCUGAUGCACAUUUGGGCAUAUAAAAGGUGGAAAUGCCAUUUUUUUAAGCCAAGCCUCUGGUAAGCAGAAGGAGUCUCACUAUGCUGCCAGCGUUGUCCUCCCCUUUGCCUUGCAAUUUUGAGGGGUUCUAAUUAAAUUUUAUUUACUCAUUCCUGCCAGGAGUUUGAGUCAUUUAUAACAGUGCUAUGGUAGAUAGCGGAGUGGACUUUACUAUCAUUUCUGCAGACACAUGGCCUCAAUUGUGGCUUACCACAGCUGUAAUAUCUGUUGUUGCUGGCCUUGGAGGUAUUGCACAGUCAUCUAAGCAGUAAACCUGUGUUGGUAAAAAUCCUGAAGAUCAAACAGCCACUAUACUAUAAGAUGUCCCUUCCCCAUAAGUUAAGUGCUGCCCCACCUAAAUUAUGGGGAAGCGACAUCUUAUCAGCAUGGGGAGUCAGGAUGGGAAUGGAUUUUUAUCUGGGACUACUGUAUUAAAUGGUGUACAACAACCUACCUUAGCCUUGAAACGGCUCACUGAACAGCCUGUGCGGGUUCAACAGUGGCCUCUUGAAAAUUAAAAUCUAAAUGCCUAUAAAUCCCUAGUAUAGGAACAAUUGGCUCAAGGUCACAACAAGCUUUCAACAAGCCUGUGGAACCCACCUGUGUUCAUAAUCAGAAAGAAAUAAUGGAAAUGGAGGUUACACCAUGAUUUAAAAAAGAUUAAUGCUGUCAUGGAGAGUAUGGGUGCUUUACAGUCUGGAAUGCCAUCACCUACUAUACCUGCCAGUUGGGACAUAUUGUUGAUUUAAAGGAUUGGUUUUUAAUUGUUCCCUUACACCCAGGUGGUACUACAAAGUUUGCCUUUACAGUGUCUUCCAUCAAUCAUGUAGUACCAGUUGAAUGACACCAAUGGAAAGUGCUGCCACAAGAAAUGAAAAAUAGCCCCAAAAUUUCCAGUGGUAUGUUGCACAGGCACUCUCAAUAGUAAAAGAACAAUUUCCAGAGGCAUACUGUUAUCACAAUAUGGAUAACAUCCUAAUAGCAACACCAACCAAAGAAGACCUUUUACAAAUUUGCCCAGAAUUGAUGCAAGAAUUUUGCUUACAAAUUGCACUACGAAAGGUACAACAACAACCACCAUGGAAAUACCUGGGAGUUAAAAUAUUAGAUCAGACCAUACAACUGCAAACAAUUCAAUUCUCAGCCAAAUUCAGACUUUAAAUGAUGCACAGAAUCUUUUGGGUAUCAUUAAUUGGGUAAGACCCUAUUUAGGAUUAACCAUCUGUAGCGGUUUUGGUUCGCUAAUUUCAGAUUUCCCUAAUUUUGAGAUUUCUUAACUAAUGUGCUGAUGAAGUGGUAGGCUUCAGUGCUGGGUAAUCACGAAGGCACUCACUUCUUGCUGUGAGAUAGGAGAAAGGCACAGUAGGCUCAAAACUUUAAAAGGAUAUAAAAAAAUUAUUAAAAGUAACUAAAAGGAAAAAAAGUAGUAAGAAUCAAAAUAAACCCUUUAUUAAUAAGAACUUUUCUCCCCCCCUAACAGCUUUUUUUCCCCACUGACAAUGUAAAGAAACUAAAAUUAAGAUUUCUAGUCCAUUUACUACUUCUAAAAUAGUUUUCCUUAAGUUUACUUAGGGAGAGAAGUCUCUCUUGUUAAGGUUAUGGAGACUUCUCUACAAGAGGAAAAAACAGUUCUUUUGUGGUUCUGAAUUUUGUUACGAAUAAUAGCUGCCUGGGGAACCUUGCUAUCGUGAAGUCUUUCUCAUUGUUACAAGCCUUCUUACAGCUUGAUGGGCUAAGUUGACUUAUGGGGUAUUGUUUUAUAAAUGAGCUGUUCAGAGGUAAGAGUUCCCAUUAUCUAUCUUUAAAAUCAUCUUUAUUCUUUGGAAUAGAAGUUUUCUUCUUUUUUGGAAGCACAGGGUUACUCUUCUCUCUUUGUUCAAACUUCUCAUGGGAUUAUAACUAUUUUAACACUUGUUUAUCUUAGUAUGGAGGCUUUUGCUCAACAUUAAUUUGAAAACUUUAUCUCUUUAUAGUUUUAUACAUUAUAGGAAAAAAGUGUUUUUACUUUAUAGUUUACAAGAUUUCAGCUUUUUGUCUUUAACAUGUGUCUUUCACAGAGGCAUGUCUAGCUUCUCAGUAGUUCAACAGACUGUUAGUUACACAAAAAGCUUUGUAUCACUUCCCUGAAUUUGCUCCCAUUCCAAACCAUGACACACCCCACAAUUGGCACCUUUAUUAACAUCCUUUAAGGUGACCCUGAGUUAACCUCAUCAAGAAAAUUAACACCAGAGGCAAAACACGCACUUGAAUUAGUAGAGUGGGUCAUAGCAAACAGGCAAGUGUAUCAGAUAUGUCCAAAAGUUUGUGUUACCGUAUUUGUUUUUAUUGUUGACCUACAUCCCACGGGUAUCAUUGGUCAACGGGACACUCAGUGGUUCGACCCACUACACAUUCUGAAAUGCAUUUUUUUCCCUCACGAACCUAAAAAGACAGCACCUUCCAUAUUUGAAUUAUUUGCACAAUUGAAUAUCAAAUGUUGCCAAAGAGGCUUCCAAUCGUAGGGCCUCUCCCCGGAGUGGCCCUCUGGUGGAGGAGGAGCACUAACAGCAGCAGCACCACGCAGCUCCCUUACCCCUCAGGCUGCAACCCCACUCCCCACCCCCAUUCCAGUGGCAUCGCCCCCAAGCUUGGAACCCGCAGGUGAGAGGGGAGAGGGAGCCUGCCUCAAGUCCAUCCAGGGGUCUCCGGGGGAACUUUUGGCAGGGCAGGGGAUGUCUGCCUAUUGAAGAACCCCAAAGCUGAGUCAGAAAUGCCCCGGAGGAAUCCUGGCGGGGGGGGCCCAUGUGGCUGAAUGGUUUGUGCAGCACAGCCAGCCCGAGCUGUGGAGCCCUCAGGGACACAUGCGAGAGACAACUCUCAGGAAUGGGACUGGGAAUUGGACUGGUAAUAGGGGAUGGGACCAGGAAUGGGGACAGGGAUUGGGAAUGGGGACAGAGACCGGGAAUGGAACCGGGAAUGGGAACAGGGACUGAAAAUGGGACCAGGAAUACAGGACAGGAUCAGGAAUGGGAUCGUGAAUGGGGACAGGGACAGGGAAUAGGACUGGGAAGGCGGGACAAGGACUGGGAAUGGGAUUCAAACUGGAAUGGGAAUAGGAUAGGACCAGGAUAGGGGAGACAUGAGAACAGGCGGGGGGAAGGGGAGUGACAGCGGGGAGUGGGGCAACCGCUACAGGGGAUACCAGGAGUUGGAAUGGGGGGACAUGGGCAAAGGUCCAGGGCAGGGAGUCCUUGAUCAGGUGCCUCAGAACCUCUGCCAGGGUCUCCCCACUCGGCCUAGGGUGCCCAAAGCCCUGAGCAACCCCCAAGUCCCUCCCAGGAAUCCUCACCUCCCUUGAACCCAGCAUCCCCCACAUCCCAUAAAAGAUCCCCCAUGACAACAUCCAUGGCCAUGCCCACACCAUAUCCUCAUACAUGUUUCAGUUCAACAUCUAUUUUGACUCCGGUUUUGAAUGUUUUGAAGGGACAAAGAGAAAUGAAAAGAAAAUCUAGGGCACAAGGAGCCGGGAUGAUGUGGAGCCCUCAGCCAGGUGUCUUCCCAACACGGAUCACUGGUACCAUGGAUCACCGGGGCUCUGCCCACCAUGGGUCCCUAGGGAUCAUCCAGCACAGAUCCUCCCAUGGGGGAUGGAGCUGGAGCAGUGCACGGAGCUCUUCCCGCAGUUGGGCCACUGGCAGGGCUUCCCUUAGUGGCGGGUCUGUUGGUGUUUGGUCAAGUGAGAGCUCUGUGAGAAGCUCCUGCCACACUUGGGACACUCAUAAAACCUCGUCCCAGUGUGGAUGUGCUGGUGGGUGAAGAGGUUACAGUUGUACCUGAAGCCCUUCCUGCAGUUGGGGCAGAGGAAGGGCCUCUCCUCGGUGUCAAUCUGCUUGUGCAAGAAGAGAUGGUAGCUGCUCUGAAACUUCUUCCUGCAUUCGUCACACUCAUAAGGCUGUUCCCCUGUGUGGAUCCUCUGGUGGACAAUCAAUUCAGAGCUUGUCCUGAAGCUCUUUCCACACUCCCCACACUCACAGGCUCUCCCCAGUGUGGAUGAGCCAGUGGGUGACAAAGUGGAAGUUGUAUUUGAAGCCUUUCCCGUAGUCAGGGCAGCGGAAGGGCCUCUCAUGUGUGUGAAUCAGCUGAUGUGUGAGGAGACUGGAGCUGGUCUGAAACCUUUUCAUGCAUUUAUCCCACUCAUAGGGCCUCUCCCCAGUGCGGAUCAUCUGGUGGUGGAUAAGUUUGGAUCUGGUCCUGAAGCUCCUCCCACAUUCCCCACACUUAGAGGGCCGUUCCCCCAUGUGGCUCCUCUGGUGGACAGUCAGGUAGGAGCUCUGGGUGAAGCUCUUUCCACACUCCCCACACUCGUACGGGCAGUCCCCCAUGUGGAUUCUCCAGUGGCAAAUCAGAGAGGAUCUCUUCUUGAAGCUCUUCCCCCAUUUCAAGCACUUGUGGGGCUUCUCCCCAUCCUGAAGCUGGGGACCCCCAGCUCCGAGCUCCAGCCGCCUCCCCAGACCUGGAUGGGUCAUUCCUCCUCAGAUCCCCGUGAUCUGCGUUUGCAGCCCCUCCUCAUGCGGGAUCUCCAGGGCUUUCCCUCACCGUUGGAUUCCUGUGCUGUGGAGCUGCUCAAAACAGUCUCUUCCACCAGGUUCUGCUGUGGGGAUUUGUCCUCCCUGCUCUCAAUCCUCAGCUCCUGCUCUGGGGGAGGAAGGACAAGGAGAGGAUGGGAUUUGCCUCUGUAACACAGGGAAGGGCAAGGAGAUCCCCGCAGUGCAUCCCAAGCAGGACGGCUUUGGCAGCAGGGAUGUCCUGCAGCUGGGGGCCUGUCAGGUGGCCGCAGGGUUUGCAACCCUGACUUGUGUUAAAAGUCUCUGUUUCAGCCCACGUGUUCAAAGGGUCAGUUGAAGCUCUUCAGUUUUUCGGUCUCAAGGUUGUUUAUUGUAUCUUAUCUAUAAAAUUUUCCUCCUGCCCAGCUGAGGUCCACUCAGCAGGACAGCCAGAGGCACUCUGCCUGCCCCCAGGGCAGUGUUACCUUUAUAUACUAAAAAAUUACAUGUACAAUUGUUGUAGUUUGAGAGGAAGUGAGUUUUUUGAGAUGUUGUAGUCAAACCAAUAAGUACUCAGAUUUGAAUAUUAGCACCUGGUAUAGCCACUGAAAACAUGAACACGCCUCUGAGAACACAGGGGGGUUAAAAGCUGAGAACUCCCAGGGGGAAGUUGAGUUCCAUCCGUGAAAGAGAUGGAAGAACACGAUGUGUACCUCAGGGAGAUCUCAUUGUUGGGUGAGACCUACGUGUAAAUAUCACUGUUUGCUAAAUGUUACUACCAUUGUCUGUGUAUAGCUGUAUAUUGAAUGUCUGAUGUAUGUGUUUAUAGAGUUAGAAUAUAUAUAUUAGUUUUAGUAGUAAGCUGAUGAUAUAGAGAUAAACAUGAACAUGCCUCUGAGAACACAGGGGGGUUAAAAGCUGAGAACUCCCAGGGGGAAGUUGAGUUCCAUCCGUGAAAGAGAGAUCCUAGAUCAGAUCCCCCUGCCCGGCUCUGAGCUAGGCGGGGGAGGGAAGCCACGAGGCCUGACUGAAGUAAGCCGGGCCUGGGACAGAGAAGAGAAGUGAAGGCCCCUGCAAGAUGGAAAAGUAGAAGAAGCCUGAGAGGCUUCAGGCAGCCCCUCAAGGAGAGAAAGAGAGAGAGAGAGAGCUGGUGUCUGUGCCUGUGCCACCUUGAAAUUUGAUAGCAUGGCCAUAGUGAAGGAGAAGGGUGGGGAGUUGUGGUGAGGUGCCCGGCUGGGAGUUCUGGACAGGCAGAGCCUGAGACUUUUAACUCUUUUCUUGGAUGCUGGAAACCUUGCAAAUGCUGAUUCCUCCUGGAGUUGAAUGAGAAGAGAGACAGAGAUGAGAUAAGAGGAAAUGGACCACCAGAGAAGCUGAAAAGAAUCUUAGGUGGGAGGAGGUGAUGGAGUAGCCUUUGGCUGGACUUUUCUUGCAUGGCCACGGACAGAAUCAUUUUUUUUUCCUGUGACACAGAGACUGCAUUUAGGCGGGAGGCAAUAGCUUAGAGCCAAGAGAGUGCAGUGAUGUGAUGUGAAGGAGUGUGUGAACAGAGACGACGGGUGAGGAGGGUGGUGGUGGUGCCCUCCAUCUUCAGAUAAGAAUAAGAAGAAGAUGAUCUCUGUUCUUGAGACCCCUUGGCCCCAGGGAGUGAAAUUUGGGGGGGACAGCUGUCCCAAAAGUGAGAGACUGUGCUCUUUUUGGAACUGGGCAAAGCACCCUUUAAAAAGGAAAACCCUAGAAGCAGCUCUGGUCCAUGUGCAGUGGUGAGAGUACUGGGCAUGGAAAGAAGAUGUCACGAUAGCAAAAGGAUCUCCAGGCAGUGCCACGUGUGACAUAAAAACACAAGAAGUUUCAACUGUAUAUCCUGGGGAAGCCUAUAGUACAAGGGAGACUCUUCUCUCAUUAAUGAACUGAGAAUUAAUUAUCUGAAAAGUAGUGCUAGACUGAGAGUGGGUGAUCUGAGGAGUGAAUGUAUUAGAAAUUUAGUGGGGGGAGAAAAUUGUUUUUAGAAAGUUUUCAUCCUGAGUUCUGUGUGUUUCUUUUAUAGUUGUAGGUUAAUAAUUUUUUUCCUUUUUAUUCCUAAGCUGGAGCCUGCUUUGCUCUAUUUCUGAUCACAUCUCACAGCAGACACCAGAGAAAAAGCAUUUUCAUGGGGGCACUGGCAUUGCACCAAGCUCAAACCAUGACAACAAUAUUUACAAUUACUUUCCAAUACCUAUCAUCUAUGUUAGACAGUGAGCUUCUACUCUAAACCAAUCCAAAAGUGCCAACAUCACCAGUGAAGAUGGAGGUAGAGAAGAAGAAGAAAGGCUAGACACGCCCAAAUCCCUCCAUCUUGUCCCCAAAAACCCCUAUACUAAAAAUCCCAAAACCUACAUUUACACCCUGUGACAACUUUAUUAUUACACUAUUUGAACUGC